GUAGAUAGUUAAGUUGGUAAAGCAUGAGAUUCCUAAUCUUGGGGUUGUGGGUUUGAGCCCCACGUUGGGCA
Molecule: non-coding RNA, 71 nt
Organism: Podarcis lilfordi (Lilford's wall lizard)
Lineage: Eukaryota; Metazoa; Chordata; Lepidosauria; Squamata; Lacertidae
Source: the annotation of a GenBank genome assembly